CGCACGUACACCCUUCAACGUGUUUGAGAGCGUCCCGAAUUCCCCGCGCCUCCCUCCCUCUCUGCCCUCUGGUCUGUCCCCUUCUUUUUUUUUCGGCUGGAUUCUUUCGUUUCGACCCUUCCCACGCACACACCAAUGUGAGGGUGCGGGUGCUGCAGCCCCGCUGCUCCCCCUGCCGCUGUUCCUUCCGCGUGUCUCUCCCUCACCUGGGCGCGUCUGCCGUGGGCAAAUGCCGGAGACAGACCCGCUCCGCCAUUCGAGCUGCAGCAGCAGGCUGUGCAGGUGUGUGAGCAGAAGGCGCUCUCAAAGUGGUAAGGAAGAGGGGAGGUAUGUGUGGGCGGGAAGGAGAGGUCGAACGCGUGCUGAGAAAGAGCGAGCGAGGGUGGCGGUGGCGGCACCGUCUUCACGGCUGCCUCUCCUCUUCCUCUUGCUUUCUCUGUGAAGGACCACGUUAUGACUGGGAAGAAGUCAAAACGAGGUGCAAAAGAAAGUGGUGUGGCUCUGUCUCGCUCGCUCGCUGGCUCUCUGGAAGGCGGAGGUACUGAACCGGCUUCGAUAGAGUGGCACCGGUGAUCCACACGCCUCACCCAAAGAUCGUUGCGCCGCGAGGAAGGAGACUUUCGAGGCUCUCGAGAUCCUGCUGGUACGCGCGCACACGCUGCCUGUCACCGCAUAUGCCUGAGGGGUCUUGCUGGCUCCUGUGCUUAUCUGUGUGUGUGGAGGACAGUGCGGCUUUUUGUCUUCCCUUCCACAUGCUUGGCAAUGACAGAUGCAUCAUGAUAUGCGUUCAGCAAUGCCUUACCCCCUGUGGCAGAGCGGCAGUCACGGUGGCAGGGGUGGAAAACGCACGUGAUGCAGCCUGGGCAUGGCGCACCUCUGUCCUCACGUCGAGAUGGAAACAGCGCACGGAGCCACAGAGCUGCACCAGGGCAACUCAUUGAUGCCGGUGUCGCUUCGCUAUGCACUCGCCGCCGGGGUACAUAUCGCGAAUACCUCGGCUGGCCCUGAGCAGAGGGGGCACUGCCUCAGCUGCUUGUAGCAUCGCCACCCACUGGGUGCGCGCGGGGUGCAAGAGGAAUCUCGAUGGAAAACGCGCCGCCUCGUACGCAUACACUCUCCCCACCACCCCUCACACACGCGUCUGUGCUAAGCCGGCAUCUGCUGCGCAUUGCUCAAUCUUCUCUGUGGGUGGAGCACUGCCUCUGCGGUGAAAAAGCUGAGAGCUCACCGAUCUCCCCGGACACCGGCGAGUUGAGAGAGCGACGCGGGGGCUCAUUCCGUAAAACGGAACGGCCAGGCAGCCCACCCCAGCGCAGAAACGCGCAGCACAGACGUGCUGUCUAGCCAUGAUGUUGCCGCACGGCAAGCGAAUCGGCUCCCCACUGCGCCUCCACCAGUCGGCGCUAAACCAUGGAAGCGACUCAAGAUGCGCGGGCUAACGAAGCCUGGGGCCUCGGCCUUCUGCCUUCCCGCAGCCAAGACGAACACGGUUGGCGGCGCAUGCCUGUCCGCCGGUGUUGCAGCGCAGUCGCAUUCUUCUCGGCACACCUGAAAUAGUGGAUGACGAGAUCUGCUGCGUGCCCCCUGGUACCGUCGGCUCCUCUCCGCAUGUGAGGUACCCCUACCCUCGAGGUGUGCAGAGGUCAGGUGCCGGCUUGGUCAUCUGCUUGAUUACUUACUGUCCACCGGCGGAAAUGAGAGAUGAGUAGGGGUGACACUCGUGGCUAGCGUCUGCCAAUGCUGCAUGUCUAACAGCAUCACAGCAGGUUUGAAGGAAAC
Molecule: unclassified non-coding RNA, 1779 nt
Filed under: Leishmania donovani
Lineage: Eukaryota; Euglenozoa; Kinetoplastea; Trypanosomatida; Trypanosomatidae
Description: gene:unknown
Source: RNAcentral